AUGCGCAGAAUUUUCCUCAAUUUCCGCACUUUUCAAGUGAAACAAUAACUUUACAGCAAAUGUUUGAUAUGAUAUGAUUGUAUUGCGUUGUUGAUAAGAUUCUCGCAUUAUUCUAUUCACACAUUAAUUUGGCACCAACAGCUGCCAAAGCUCUGGCAGCGUGGGACGAGCAUGAGGGGGGCGAGACGCAGAGUUGCCUUCCUAUAAAUGGUUUUUAUAAUCUACUGCGCAAAAUCUCUUAAUACAUUGUUCAGGGUCGUUUUUGUUACAACAAUAAUCUUAUUUCCGAUCUAAAUGCCAAAGACAAAUUCAAAUUUAAAUUCCAACUUCAAGUUAACAUAAAUCAGUUUUCAUGAACGCAUUAAAUUGUCAUUCCAUUAGUUACAGAUUCUAAUAAGAAUAUUCUUUGCAGCAGAGAUGAUCAUAACACGUAAUACGAGGGUCUGGAUCGAGUGAUUGUACAACGAAUUGGACUAUAUAAAUAUCCACAUGCAUGUAUAUAUAUAUAUAUGAUUUACACCCAUAUAUGCCACUUUGUACAUAUGUAUGUGUGUGUGUGUGCAUGUUCCAAAUGCGGGCAGUGAGUCACUUGAAUAUAAGCACAUAAUAAUACAAAAAAGAAAAAAAAAACUAGCCAAAUAGAGGAAGAGUAUGGGCAGAAAAAAAAAACAUUGCCUCUGAAAAUAUCACGUAAAAUUGAAUUUUGAUCGCCACGAGUCGAGUUCAAGAAGCAGAAAUCAUCUCAUCUCUUCUCGUGCGAUGACUCCAUGCCGUUUAAAUUUGUAGACACAACAAAAAUAAAUCUACAUACAUACAUACAUACAUGCAUACAUACGUACAUGUGUAUGUAUGUUCAUAUCUAAACAAAUUGUUUUGUGCUAACGUGUUUUGGAGAAAUUGUGUGCAUGCUAGUAUGUGUGUGUGUGUGUGUGUGUGUAGAAAUGAAACGCAAAUUCCGUCAAAGCAAUGCACACGAAUAUCAAUCAAAGCGAAACCGUCCAAGUCUGUCAGCCCCCCCCCUCUCGUAGCAGAAGGCAACAACAAGAAGCAUUGUUGUAACUGUUAUUGAAGGGUGCCACGAGACAUCUCCAUACCAAUUCACCUCCACCCAUCACACUGUCCACCACACCCCUCGCACACAACUCUCUUCCUCUGGCAGCAAUAUAACAUAAACUGGCGUCCAUCAGCUGUCUACAUUUUGGUGGGUUCAAUGGCUCUCUGGCAACGCUCAAAUGUUACGCUCUUUAUUUUCUUAUUUUCUUUUUGUUUUUUGUUUUUUUUUUUUUUUUUUGCGCACACGUUGUCCAAAGUCAUUCAACCCAAAAACCAAAUAACGUAAAAUAAAACGCAAAAGGAGGCGAGCGACGGCUGCGACAGCAACGGAACGGGAAGCAGAAGCGGCGGCGGGGUCACUGUGCGCGCUCUCACUCGCACUCUCCCCUCUUACUCCCUGUUAGCUUAGCGCCCGUUAAACAACGACAACAACAACAACAACAACAAGUAGCAAUGGGGUAAAAUUUGAAAAUAUUGCGUAGCGUGGGUCUCCAAAACGAAGGCGAUGCUUCUGAAAGCUGCUGCCGUUGGUCAGUGUGACCACCCCCUCCAAAAAGCAAAAGCAAAAGCAACUUGGUGCACACGACCUCAGGAUGUGCUUCAUUGAAACUUAUUUAGAGCACUGAGCAAAUGACAGAUCAACUCGAACAGAGACGGCAACACUUUUCACUUCGCAUAUGUCUCUUUUUACAUGUGUAUGUAAUCAUUUCAUUUUUAUCAACUAACAGGAGUCUGAACUGUGCACAGACCUUCUCCACCCCCAUUUCGACUGCUAGAUAAUCACCAAAAAAGCCGCACGGGCACUGGACUGUCUGACAGCAUUUGAUAAGCUAGUCCACAGUACGGUUUACUUACCGUUAUCUGGCCCGCAGGCCCAUAUAAAACGUAUCAGCUUUGAUAAUUUGUGACUCAGGGCUUAGGACAAAAACAAAAUGAAAAAAAUAACCCAAAUUAACAAUAUUCAACGACUACGCAAUACCCUGUAUGUUCAAGAAACACACAAGAACUUAAAUAAUUCGAAUUAUAACAUAACUUCAAAAUUCUUUUCCAAGCACACUUAAUGAAACGUUAAAUUGAAAUAGCUUUCUUUUAAUUUCACCCCAGAAUGUUAAUCAGUCUUAUAUGAUUAAAUUGUUGGUUUCUAUAAGUGUAUUCGAAACUUUAAUUUAAUUACAUUUUCCCAUUGAUUUUUUUUAGAGAUAUGUCAAGUAGAUUAAGCCCACAUCAAAAGCAUUGUGUACACACCAAAUAUAACCCUCUAUAUAUUCACUUUAA
Drosophila virilis is the source of this 2328-nucleotide non-coding RNA. The record is from RefSeq and is a predicted model, not a curated record. Lineage: Eukaryota; Metazoa; Arthropoda; Insecta; Diptera; Drosophilidae.